CCCGGCACAAGCGGUGGAGGAUGUGGUUUAAUUCGACGCAACGCGAAGAACCUUACCUAGGCUUGACAUGCUGGUGAAAACCAUGGAAACAUGGUCCUCCCGUAAGGGACAUCAGUACAGGUGGUGCAUGGCUGUCGUCAGCUCGUGUCGUGAGAUGUUGGGUUAAGUCCCGCAACGAGCGCAACCCUUAUUGUCAGUUGCCAGCAUUCAGUUGGGCACUCUGGCGAGACUGCCGUUGACAAAACGGAGGAAGGUGGGGACGACGUCAAAUCAUCAUGCCCCUUAUGUCCUGGGCUACACACGUACUACAAUGGCAAUAACAGAGGGCAGCCAAACCGCGAGGUUGAGCGAAUCCCAAAAUAUUGUCUCAGUUCAGAUUGCAGGCUGCAACUCGCCUGCAUGAAGUCGGAAUUGCUAGUAAUGGCAGGUCAGCAUACUGCCGUGAAUACGUUCCCGGGCCUU
RNAcentral lists this ribosomal RNA (462 nucleotides) under uncultured Fastidiosipila sp. RNAcentral's name for it is "bacterial SSU rRNA". It matches the Rfam family "Bacterial small subunit ribosomal RNA", at positions 920 to 1382 of the family's 1533-position model. Lineage: Bacteria; Bacillati; Bacillota; Clostridia; Eubacteriales; Oscillospiraceae. The record is from RNAcentral.